CAGUAGCCGCGGUAAUACGAAGGGCGCAAGCGUUAAUCGGAAUUACUGGGCGUAAAGCGUGCGUAGGCGGUGAGUUAAGUCUGCCGUGAAAUCCCUGGGCUCAACCUGGGAAUUGCAGUGGAUACUGGGUCACUAGAGUGUGGUAGAGGAUAGUGGAAUUUCCGGUGUAGCAGUGAAAUGCGUAGAGAUCGGGAGGAACAUCAGUGGCGAAGGCGGCCAUCUGGGACAACACUGACGCUGAGGCACGAAAGCGUGGGGAGCAAACAGGAUUAGAUACCCCUGUAGUCCCUGUCUCUUAUAA
This 301-nucleotide ribosomal RNA is filed under the name uncultured bacterium. RNAcentral describes it as "partial 16S ribosomal RNA". It matches the Rfam family "Bacterial small subunit ribosomal RNA", at positions 509 to 809 of the family's 1533-position model. The record is from RNAcentral.